UAAAACUUUCAACAACGGAUCUCUUGGUUCUGGCAUCGAUGAAGAACGCAGCGAAAUGCGAUAAGUAAUGUGAAUUGCAGAAUUCAGUGAAUCAUCGAAUCUUUGAACGCACAUUGCGCCCAUUAGUAUUCUAGUGGGCAU
This 141-nucleotide ribosomal RNA is filed under the name Creosphaeria sassafras. RNAcentral's name for it is "5.8S ribosomal RNA". It matches the Rfam family "5.8S ribosomal RNA", at positions 1 to 138 of the family's 154-position model. From Rfam's summary of the family: 5.8S ribosomal RNA (5.8S rRNA) is a component of the large subunit of the eukaryotic ribosome. Lineage: Eukaryota; Fungi; Ascomycota; Sordariomycetes; Xylariales; Xylariaceae. The record is from RNAcentral.